Molecule: long non-coding RNA, 396 nt
Filed under: Monodelphis domestica (gray short-tailed opossum)
Lineage: Eukaryota; Metazoa; Chordata; Mammalia; Didelphimorphia; Didelphidae
Description: lncRNA (ENSMODG00000042656.1)
Source: RNAcentral
GCAUGGAAUAUCAUAAGGUCAAAAGUUAAGGUGCUCUAGAAGAAUAACUAAUGAAACAUCAGAUCUUAGCCUGCAUGGAUACAAAUUGAAAGAGAAGGGCAGCUUUGGUACAGUGUUUUGGGGAAGACUGACUGCUAUGGGAGAACAGUUCCCUGAGAGCCUCACCCAGUCAGGCCAAUGAGGACACAUUUGACUGUUACUGCUGGCAUUGACUGGUGAAAACGGGCACUUUGUGGGCAAUAGGAAAUGAGCCACUAGAAAUGGAAACAUUGAAAACAAAUGCAAGAAUGGAGAUAACAGAAGAGGCAACCUAUUAGACGACAUGAGAUGGAAUGUUUGAGUAGGUAAGAGAUUAGCCAUAGUAGGAAUAAAGGGUUGAAGGAUGUGAGAGUGGCA